UACAGAGGGUGCGAGCGUUGUCCGGAAUCACUGGGCGUAAAGCGCACGUAGGCGGAUGUGUCAGUCAGGGGUGAAAUCCCGGAGCUCAACUUCGGAACUGCCCCUUGAUACAGCACGUCUUGAGUCCGGAAGAGGUGGGUGGAAUUCCUAGUGUAGAGGUGAAAUUCGUAGAUAUUAGGAAGAACACCGGUGGCGAAGGCGGCCCACUGGUCCGGUACUGACGCUGAGGUGCGAAAGCGUGGGGAGCAAACAGG
Molecule: ribosomal RNA, 254 nt
Filed under: uncultured bacterium
Lineage: Bacteria
Description: partial 16S ribosomal RNA
Rfam family: Bacterial small subunit ribosomal RNA
Source: RNAcentral